GCCCUUAGAGUUUGAUCCUGGCUCAGGAUGAACGCUGGCGGCGUGCCUAAUACAUGCAAGUCGAGCGAACGGACGAGAAGCUUGCUUCUCUGAUGUUAGCGGCGGACGGGUGAGUAACACGUGGAUAACCUACCUAUAAGACUGGGAUAACUUCGGGAAACCGGAGCUAAUACCGGAUAAUAUUUUGAACCGCAUGGUUCAAAAGUGAAAGACGGUCUUGCUGUCACUUAUAGAUGGAUCCGCGCUGCAUUAGCUAGUUGGUAAGGUAACGGCUUACCAAGGCAACGAUGCAUAGCCGACCUGAGAGGGUGAUCGGCCACACUGGAACUGAGACACGGUCCAGACUCCUACGGGAGGCAGCAGUAGGGAAUCUUCCGCAAUGGGCGAAAGCCUGACGGAGCAACGCCGCGUGAGUGAUGAAGGUCUUCGGAUCGUAAAACUCUGUUAUUAGGGAAGAACAUAUGUGUAAGUAACUGUGCACAUCUUGACGGUACCUAAUCAGAAAGCCACGGCUAACUACGUGCCAGCAGCCGCGGUAAUACGUAGGUGGCAAGCGUUAUCCGGAAUUAUUGGGCGUAAAGCGCGCGUAGGCGGUUUUUUAAGUCUGAUGUGAAAGCCCACGGCUCAACCGUGGAGGGUCAUUGGAAACUGGAAAACUUGAGUGCAGAAGAGGAAAGUGGAAUUCCAUGUGUAGCGGUGAAAUGCGCAGAGAUAUGGAGGAACACCAGUGGCGAAGGCGACUUUCUGGUCUGUAACUGACGCUGAUGUGCGAAAGCGUGGGGAUCAAACAGGAUUAGAUACCCUGGUAGUCCACGCCGUAAACGAUGAGUGCUAAGUGUUAGGGGGUUUCCGCCCCUUAGUGCUGCAGCUAACGCAUUAAGCACUCCGCCUGGGGAGUACGACCGCAAGGUUGAAACUCAAAGGAAUUGACGGGGACCCGCACAAGCGGUGGAGCAUGUGGUUUAAUUCGAAGCAACGCGAAGAACCUUACCAAAUCUUGACAUCCUUUGACAACUCUAGAGAUAGAGCUUUCCCCUUCGGGGGACAAAGUGACAGGUGGUGCAUGGUUGUCGUCAGCUCGUGUCGUGAGAUGUUGGGUUAAGUCCCGCAACGAGCGCAACCCUUAAGCUUAGUUGCCAUCAUUAAGUUGGGCACUCUAAGUUGACUGCCGGUGACAAACCGGAGGAAGGUGGGGAUGACGUCAAAUCAUCAUGCCCCUUAUGAUUUGGGCUACACACGUGCUACAAUGGACAAUACAAAGGGCAGCGAAACCGCGAGGUCAAGCAAAUCCCAUAAAGUUGUUCUCAGUUCGGAUUGUAGUCUGCAACUCGACUACAUGAAGCUGGAAUCGCUAGUAAUCGUAGAUCAGCAUGCUACGGUGAAUACGUUCCCGGGUCUUGUACACACCGCCCGUCACACCACGAGAGUUUGUAACACCCGAAGCCGGUGGAGUAACCUUUUAGGAGCUAGCCGUCGAAGGUGGGACAAAUGAUUGGGGUGAA
This 1502-nucleotide ribosomal RNA is filed under the name uncultured bacterium. RNAcentral's name for it is "partial 16S ribosomal RNA". It matches the Rfam family "Bacterial small subunit ribosomal RNA". The record is from RNAcentral.